GAAAGCUCAGACCAGCAUCCUGGAUUUGAUUUCUCUCCUGUUGCACGUGGAACCAGAAAUUUUGAAACAAAAAUUUUACUUUUUUUUUCAAAUCUUUUAAUAAAAUUAUAAUUUAAUUAAUUGAAAGAUAAAUUAGAUUAACUAGAUAACACAAUAACAGUAACACAACCAUUCAAACUUAUGUCUCAACAUAAUGAUUUCCAAAUCAAAUGAAAAGAAAAUUACAUAUUAAAUAAAAGUUCUUACCUUUCCUUGUCGCUGAUGGUACAAACGGCGAUAAUAGGAAUUAAAAAGAAGAUUGAGGCCAAACCUUUGUGAAAUUGCAGAGAGGAUGAAAUACUAAGGUAGAAAAAAUCAAAAAUUUUUGGAAGAAUUUGAUAACAACCGAAUCUCCAUAGAGAAUUAACGCGGGAGUGUUUUAGAAGAGGUGAGAAAUUUGCAAACUAGAGAGAAAUUAGUAAAGUGUUCCUAUUUUGUUUGUAGUAAGAUUCUAAUUUAAC
Molecule: long non-coding RNA, 500 nt
Filed under: Citrus sinensis (sweet orange)
Lineage: Eukaryota; Viridiplantae; Streptophyta; Magnoliopsida; Sapindales; Rutaceae
Description: long non-coding RNA (CSIN_LNC002542)
Source: RNAcentral